GCCCGCCUAGCUCAAUCGGAUAGAGCGUCAGACUCUUAUCGUCUAGGAGGGCAUCUGAAGGCUGCGAGUUCGACCCUCGCGGUGGGCU
This 88-nucleotide transfer RNA is filed under the name Schizophyllum commune. RNAcentral describes it as "tRNA-Lys". It matches the Rfam family "tRNA". Rfam says of the family: Transfer RNA (tRNA) molecules are approximately 80 nucleotides in length. Their secondary structure includes four short double-helical elements and three loops (D, anti-codon, and T loops). RNAcentral also lists the same sequence under 2 other names. Lineage: Eukaryota; Fungi; Basidiomycota; Agaricomycetes; Agaricales; Schizophyllaceae. The record is from RNAcentral.